This 557-nucleotide ribosomal RNA is filed under the name uncultured archaeon. RNAcentral describes it as "partial 16S ribosomal RNA". The record is from RNAcentral.
GUGCUCCCCCGCCAAUUCCUUUAAGUUUCAGCCUUGCGGCCGUACUCCCCAGGUGGUAGGCUUAACGGCUUCCCUGCGGCACUGAAUUGGCCCGGAGCCAAUCCAUCGCCGAGCCUACAUCGUUUACAGCUGGGACUACCCGGGUAUCUAAUCCGGUUUGCUCCCCCAGCUUUCAUCCCUCACCGUCGAGCGCGUUCUAGCGAGACGCCUUCGCCACUGGUGGUCCUCCAUGGAUCAGUGGAUUUUACCCCUACACAUGGAAUACCUCUCGCCUCUCCCGCCUCCUAGUGUAUUAGUAUCCUCCGCAGCCCACUUGUUGAGCAAGUGGAUUUAACGGAGGACUUUAUACACCGGCUACGGAUGCUUUAGACCCAAUAAUCGUCCCGACCACUCGGGGUGCUGGUAUUACCGCGGCGGCUGACACCAGGCUUGCCCACCCCUUAUUCACCAGUCUAUUUACAACUGGCAAAAGGCUCCUUUAGCAGGAACCACUCGGAUUAACCCCGUCAGGCUUUCGCCCAUUGCGGAGGUUUCGCGCCUGCUGCACCCCAUUUACA